RNAcentral lists this ribosomal RNA (442 nucleotides) under uncultured bacterium. RNAcentral's name for it is "partial 16S ribosomal RNA". It matches the Rfam family "Bacterial small subunit ribosomal RNA", at positions 338 to 795 of the family's 1533-position model. The record is from RNAcentral.
CCUACGGGUGUCAGCAGUGGGGGAUAUUGCACAAUGGGGGAAACCCUGAUGCAGCGACGCCGCGUGGGCGAAGAAGUAUUUCGGUAUGUAAAGCCCUAUCAGCAGGGAAGAAGAAAUGACGGUACCUGAGUAAGAAGCACCGGCUAAAUACGUGCCAGCAGCUGCGGUAAUACGUAUGGUGCAAGCGUUAUCCGGAUUUACUGGGUGUAAAGGGAGCGCAGGCGGUACGGCAAGCCUGAUGUGAAAGCCCGCGGCCCAACCGCGGGACUGCAGUGGGAACUACCGGGCGUGAGUGCCGGAGAGGUAGGCGGAAUUCGUGGUGUAGCGGUGAAAUGCGUAGAUAUUAGGAAGAACACCAGUGGCGAAGGCGGCUUGCUGGACGGUAACUGACGUUGAGGCUCGAAAGCGUGGGGAGCAAACAGGAUUAGAUACCCUUGUAGUC